AGCAACUUGUCAAGCAAGUGCAUGACGUCAGAGAAUGUGAGACUGUAUUUCGUGUGCCAGAAUCGAUUGAAGUCAUCGCGAUUGCCGACUUGUCCAGGCUGGGCUAUCGCGGCCACAACUCCAUCAAUUCCGAGGUCUAGGAAUGCACCCUUGACGUGCCAACCUAAACCAUCCAAACUCACAUCCUCUUCAGCCACAUACAGCUGUUUGAACCGCUU
This 218-nucleotide unclassified non-coding RNA is filed under the name Hevea brasiliensis (rubber tree). Lineage: Eukaryota; Viridiplantae; Streptophyta; Magnoliopsida; Malpighiales; Euphorbiaceae. The record is from RNAcentral.